GACGAACGCUGGCGGCGUGCUUAACACAUGCAAGUCGAACGGAAAGGCCCUGCUUUUGUGGGGUGCUCGAGUGGCGAACGGGUGAGUAACACGUGAGUAACCUGCCCUUGACUUUGGGAUAACUUCAGGAAACUGGGGCUAAUACCGGAUAGGAGCUCCUGCUGCAUGGUGGGGGUUGGAAAGUUUCGGCGGUUGGGGAUGGACUCGCGGCUUAUCAGCUUGUUGGUGGGGUAGUGGCUUACCAAGGCUUUGACGGGUAGCCGGCCUGAGAGGGUGACCGGCCACAUUGGGACUGGGAUACGGCCCAGACUCCUACGGGAGGCAGCAGUGGGGAAUAUUGCACAAUGGGCGGAAGCCUGAUGCAGCAACGCCGCGUGCGGGAUAACGGCCUUCGGGUUGUAAACCGCUUUCGCCUGUGACGAAGCGUGAGUGACGGUAAUGGGUAAAGAAGCACCGGCUAACUACGU
RNAcentral lists this ribosomal RNA (467 nucleotides) under uncultured bacterium. RNAcentral's name for it is "partial 16S ribosomal RNA". It matches the Rfam family "Bacterial small subunit ribosomal RNA", at positions 28 to 506 of the family's 1533-position model. The record is from RNAcentral.